This 450-nucleotide ribosomal RNA is filed under the name uncultured bacterium. RNAcentral's name for it is "bacterial SSU rRNA". It matches the Rfam family "Bacterial small subunit ribosomal RNA", at positions 8 to 507 of the family's 1533-position model. The record is from RNAcentral.
AGAGUUUGAUCAUGGCUCAGAACGAACGCUGGCGGCAGGCUUAACACAUGCAAGUCGAGCGCCCCGCAAGGGGAGCGGCAGACGGGUGAGUAACGCGUGGGAACAUACCCUUUGGUUCGGAAUAACUCAGGGAAACUUGAGCUAAUACCGGAUACGUCCGUAAGGAGAAAGAUUUAUCGCCAAAGGAUUGGCCCGCGUCCGAUUAGCUAGUUGGUGAGGUAAACGGCUCACCAAGGCUACGAUCGGUAGCUGGUCUGAGAGGAUGAUCAGCCACAUUGGGACUGAGAUACGGCCCAGACUCCUACGGGAGGCAGCAGUGGGAAUAUUGGACAAUGGGGGCAACCCUGAUCCAGCAAUGCCGCGUGAGUGAUGAAGGCCUUAGGGUUGUAAAGCUCUUUGCCAGGGAAGAUGAUGACUGUACCUGGAGAAUAAGCCCCGGCUAACUUCGUG